AGUCAGACAAGCCAACUGAGGUCUGAACCCUUGUUCUUCGAGGACUGCCUGUCAUGCUGGGAAAUGCAGACUCUUCUUUCUUCAUGUUUAGUGUCUGAUCAUCACAACACUAUCCUUGAUGUGCCAGUGGGGAUCUUAAUCGAGGACACAGCCCCCCAUCAGAUCUUCAGCCCCCCAACUCCUUGCAUUUGACUUUUUCCAUUGGAAUAAUUCUUGAAGGCCAAGUGGUGAUGGAAAAAUGUGGGACCUCCCACAGGCCAUCUGUCUUCUCUUCAGUUUGAUUUAUGCACUAGACCUGAAUUACCCAAAAUCACUCGCCAACACGUUUGAUUUCAUCCAGCGUGUACUAAUGACAAUGGGAUAGAAUGCUCUCAAGCUUAGAGUUCAGUCUCUAGCAAACCAGCUUUUUCCUUAAGAAACGUCUCUGUGAUACUUUAACACCACCCUUUGUAUUGGGAUUUAUCCACCAAUUAAUUUACUCCAUUAUCCAUUUAUGAAGAAUAAAAAGUAUGUUUAAAUAUUUAAAUACACAGAGUUCUACAACUGAUGUGCAGUAUUUAAUUUGGAAUAUUGUUACCAUUGUUACACCUCUGUAGUGUGGUUGUGACCUGGUAAUAUUUUAAUUACAGUAUAGUUUGUACUGUAAUGUUGUGACAUUUGGGCCAAAGACAUGUUCAGUAUGCAUUAUUUUAGUUUGCCGUAUUUGCACAAAGCUUAAAUGGUGAACUGUAGUAAGACUGUAGUUAUGUUUAGCCUACAUGUUCAGUACAUUAAAAAUUGUGAGGCAUAAAAAGUUUAAGUGCAAAGAGUCGUACAAUUGAUGUAAGUGCACUAGUUAAUGUUUUACUGUUUACAUUUUUACUGUUAUUACCAACUUCACAGUGUGGUUGUGACCCAGUAAUAUUUCCACUACAGUUUGUACUGUAAUAUUGUGAAACUUUGGUGAAAGAUACUGUUGAGUAUUUUUUAUUUUAGUUUGCUAUGUUUGCACAAAGCUUAAACGGCCAAAACUAGUUAUGUUUACAUUGACAUAAUUGUGAUACUUGAUUGAUGUAUAUAUGUGCAUAGAGUUGUACUAUUGAUGUACUACACUGGUUAAUUUUGUUACCACGUUUACAGUGUGGCUGUGACCCAUUUCUAUUACAGUAUAGGGUUUACUGUAUUUUCAUUAAUAUUGUGACAUUUUGUCGAUAAAAGGUCAAAGAUUAAA
This is a long non-coding RNA of Carassius carassius (crucian carp), 1210 nucleotides long. RefSeq lists it as uncharacterized. The record is from RefSeq and is a predicted model, not a curated record. The transcript has 2 exons. NCBI's taxonomy places the organism in Eukaryota, Metazoa, Chordata, Actinopteri, Cypriniformes, Cyprinidae.